RNA transcript from Humulus lupulus (European hop), 2024 nucleotides. It is a transcript of the gene named chaperone protein dnaJ 1, mitochondrial, with no coding region annotated. The transcript is spliced from 20 exons. Lineage: Eukaryota; Viridiplantae; Streptophyta; Magnoliopsida; Rosales; Cannabaceae. The record is from RefSeq and is a predicted model, not a curated record.
CUAGAAAUGGCAGAAGGAAGAAACCAGGAAUAGAAUCAAUCGUUAUUUAUUUCACUUCUUCAUAUUUUGAUCGAGUUCAUAACUAUCACUAUAUAAAUUUAUAUAUUACUUAGCAGAAAUUCGUAUCUUCCAAAACUAGCAAACUGAGUUGUUCGUAAUGAGCAAAUUGAGGUGGCUCGGCCUGUGUCGGCGGCAUUUUCUGUCGUCCAUGGUUGUGGAGCCGCGUACUGAACUAGGAAUUUGGCUCGGAAAAUAUGCCUCCUUGCCCCACAGUUUGUUUCGCAGUCGAGCUCUGCACUAUUGUGGUUCUGCGUUUGCGGGAACUGUGGGUUUGGGUUCUUCAUUUCGGAAGCGUUAUUUUCACGCCUCAGGGUUCUAUUGCUCCCCAGAACGAGACUACUACGAAAUUCUGGGUGUUCCUCAAAAUGCAAGUCGGGAUGAGAUAAAAAAGGCUUUUCAUGCACUUGCGAAGAAAUACCAUCCAGAUGCCAAUAAAAACAAUCCUUCUGCUAAGAAAAAAUUUCAAGAGAUAAGAGACGCUUAUGAGACUCUGCAAGAUUCAGAGAAGAGGGAAAAAUAUGACUGGAUGCGCACAAAGGGCUCAAAAAAUAUGGAAGAUGCUGGUAAUACUGAGGGGUUUCGAUACAGUUAUCAGACUAAUUUCUCUAGUUCAUUCCAUAAAGUAUUCUCCGAGAUCUUUGAACACAAUAUUGAUCGUUUUGCAUCUGAUAUUCAGGUGGAGUUAUCACUCUCUUUUCUAGAAGCUGCUAAGGGAUGCAUAAGACAUCUCUCUGUUGAUGCUUAUGUUCCCUGUGAUAUUUGCUAUGGGCAAGGUUAUGCUGUUGAUGCCAAGACAAAAGUUUGUCCGACUUGCAGAGGUAUUGGGAGAGUAACCAUUCCUCCGUUUUCAUCCACUUGUAAUACUUGCAAAGGAUCAGGCCGAGUAAUAAAGGAGUAUUGUGUGUCAUGCCAAGGAUCAGGUGUAGUUGAAGGUGUUAGAGAGGUUAAAGUUACAAUACCUGCAGGUGUAGAUUCUGGAGAUACAAUACGUGUACCAGGGGCUGGAAAUACGGGUGGACAAGGAAGUGAACCUGGUACCUUAUAUAUUAAACUGAAGGUUGCCAAAGAUCCUAUAUUUGCUAGAGACGGAGCAGAUGUUUAUGUGGACUCUAAUAUCAGCUUUACACAGGCAAUCCUUGGUGGUAAGGUUGAGGUGCCUACUUUGUCUGGGAAGACACAAGUCAAUAUACCUAUGGGAGUUCAGCCUGGACAACUUCUAGUACUAAGAGGCAAAGGACUUCCAAAGCCUGGUCUUCUUAUUAACCACCAUGGAGAUCAAUAUGUGCGCUUUUGUAUCAAAUUUCCCAUUGAAUUAAAUGAACGGCAACGUGCUCUUUUAGAGGAAUUUGCAAAGGAGGAAAUAAAUCAUGGAGAUAACAGUUUGAAUGAGGGAAACUGGUUGCAGAAGUUUUUUGAACAUUUGGCGGGUCCUAAGUUUGUGCUUGAACUAUCUAUGUUCGUAUUGAUUAUUUUCUUCCUGAGCAAAACUGUGGGAUGAAAGCAGUUCUAACGGAGACUUCUGGGGCCAAUGGUCAAUGAAAGAAGGAUUGCUUCAUGUUCAUACUUCAGAAUUGUACUGACACAAGGGUCCAUUGUCAGAAGUAUUGCAUUUGUCCCAGUGUCUGGGAGAGGCAAAGGAUGCUUGGAAGAAUUUUUAGUCGAAUCAUUAUUUUGCUCGAAAGCAUAUUGAUUUUUCAGGUAGGUCACAGAUUAAGAUCUAGUAAAUAAUAGAUGAUAAAUGCAGGCUGGGAGUGAUUUGAUAAAGAGAUCUCAGGGGUCGUUUAAAUUCUAGAGUCGUUUCUUUUUAAGGAGAAAUAGACCAUAUGUAUAUUCAAUUUUUGUAGCGGCCAAUACAGUUUCACAGUAAACCAUUUUGGAAGCUCGAGAAAUCCAUGUCAACCAUUUCCAAACUCAGUGUUCACUUUUAUAUAUAGUGCUGCAAAAUUUGUGUCACCAUAUAAAAA